Molecule: ribosomal RNA, 3358 nt
Filed under: Nicotiana tabacum (common tobacco)
Lineage: Eukaryota; Viridiplantae; Streptophyta; Magnoliopsida; Solanales; Solanaceae
Description: eukaryotic LSU rRNA
Rfam family: Eukaryotic large subunit ribosomal RNA
Source: RNAcentral
UUGACCCUGGGUCAGGCGGGACUACUCGAUGAAUUUAAGCAUAUCAACUAGCGGAGGAAAAGAAACUUAUAAGGAUUCCCUAGUAACGGCGAGCGAAUAGGGAAUAGCACAACCUUAGAAUCGGGCGGCUCCAUCGUCCGAAUUAUAGUCUGGAGAAACAUCCUCAGCAGCGGACCGGGCCCAAGUCCCCUGGAAGGGGACACUAAAGAGGGUGAGAGCCCUAUUGUGCUAGGACCCUGUCGCACUACGAGGCGUUGUCUAUGAGUCGGGUUGUUUGAGAAUGCAGCCCAAAUUGGGUGGUUAAUUCCGUCCCAGGCUAAAUACGGGCGAGAGACCGAUAGCGAACAAGUACCGCGAGGGAAAGAUGAAAAGGACUUUGAAAAGAGACUCAAAGAGUGAUUGAAAUUGUUGGGAGGGAAGUGGAUUGGGGCCAGUGAUGUGCCUCGGUCGGAUGUGGAACGAUGUUAUGCCGGUGUGCCGAUCAACUCGGGGAGUGAAUCAACGUUGAUUAGGGGCGGCCAAAGCCCGGGCUUUUGAUAUGCUCGUGGAACGUCAUCUCCUUGAUUGUGGAAGGCAACAUGCACCUCUAUCAUGCUUCGUCAUAUGCAUGCUCCGGACGCUGGUCUGUGGGCUCCCUAUUCGACCCAUCUUGAAACACGGACAAAGGAGUCUAACAUGUGUGUGAGUCAAUGGGUGAGUAAACCCACAAGGCAUAAGGAAUCUGAUUGGUGGGAUCCCCCUGAGGGGUGCACCGCUGAUCGACCUUGAUCUUCUGUGAAGGGUUUGAGUGUUACCAUACCUGUCGUGACCCGAAAGAUCGUGAACUAUGCCUGAGCGGGGCGAAGCCAUAGGAAACUCUGGUGGAGGCCCGUAGCGAUACUAAUGUGAAAAUCGUCCGUCUAACUUAGGUAUAGGGGCAAAAGACUAAUCGAACUGUCUAGUAGCAGGUUCAGUUUCCCUCAGGAUAGCUGGAGCUCGCGUGCGAGUUCUAUCGGGUAAAGCUAAUGAUUUGAGGCAUCGGGGGUGCAAUGCCCUCGACCUAUUCUAAAACUUUAAAUAAGUAGGAUGGCGCAAUUGCUUUAUUGAGCUACGCCACGGAAUCAAGAGCUCGAAGUGGGCAAUAUUUUGUAAGUAGAACUGGCGAUGUGGGAUGAAUCGGAAGCAGGGUUACAGUGAUAAAAUGCGCACUAACCUAGAUCCCACAAAAGGGUGUUGGUCGAUUAAGACAGCAGGACAGUGGUCAUGGAAGUCGAAAUCCGCUAAGGACUAUGUAUCAACUUACUUGCCAAAUCAACUAGCCCCGAAAAUGGAUGGCUCUUAAUCACGCGACCUACACCCGGCUGUCAGGCAAGUGCUAGGCCCCGAUGAGUCGGAUGGAGCGACGAUCUCUUCAAAACCUUGGGCGUGAGCCUGGGUGGAGCGGCUGUCAGUGCAGAUCUUGGUGGUAGUAGCAAAUAUUCAAAUGAGAACUUUGAAAGCCGAAUAGGGGAAAGGUUCUAUGUGAACGGCACUUGCACUUGGGUUAGUCGAUCUUAAGGGUUGGGGAAACCCUGAUAUAUAGCGCGUUUCACGCGUACUCUUAAAGGGAAUUAGGGACAUGGCGGUUGACGGCAACGUUAGAAAGUCCGGAUUUGUCGGCGGGGUCCUAAAGAAGAGUUAUCUUUUUUGUUUAAUAGCAUGCCCACCCUGGAAAUAACUCAGUUGGAGGUAGGGUCCAGCGGCUGGAAGAUGACCGCACAUCCAGUGGUGUCCGGUGCGCCCCCGACGGCCCUUGAAAAUCUGAAGGACCGAGUGUCGUCCAUGCUCGAUCGUACUCAUAACCGCAUCAGGUUUCCGAGGUGAACAACCUCUAGUCGAUGGAACAAUGUAGGCAAGGGAAGUCGGAAAAAUGGAUCUGUAACUUUGGGAAAAGGAUUGGCUCUAAGGGCUUGGCAUGUGGGUCCUAGUCCCGCACCCGUCAGCUGUCGGUGGACUACUUGAGCUGCUCCCGCGGCGAAAGUGGGUCGCCGCGUGCCGGCUGGGGGACGAACUGGGACCGGUUCAUUCGGGGGCCUUUCCCGGACGUUAAACAGCCAACUCAAAACUAGUACGGACAAGGGGAAUCCGACUGUUUAAUUAAAACAAAGCAUUGCGAUGGUCCCUACGGAUGUUUAUGUAAUGUGAUUUCUGUCUAGUGCUCUGAAUAUCAAAGUGACGAAAUUCAACUAAGUACGGGUAAAUGGCGGGAGUAACUAUGACUCUCUUAAGGUAGCCAAAUUCCUCAUCAUCUAAUUAGUGACGCGCAUGAAUGGAUUAACAAGAUUCCCACUAUCUUUGUCUACUAUCUAGCGAAACCAUAGCCAAGGGAAUGGGUUUGGCAGAAUCAGCGGGGAAAGAAGACACUAUUGAUCUUGACUCUAGUCCGACUUUGUGAAAUGACUUGAGAGUUGUAGUAUAAGUGGGAGCGGAAAGGUAAAAGUGGAAUACCACUACUUUUAACGUUAUUUUACUUAUUCCGUGAAUUGGAAGCGGGGCACUGCCCCUUUUUUUGGACCCAAGGCUUGCUUGCAGGCCGAUUCGGGCUGAAGACAUUGUUAGUUGGGGAGUUUGGCUAGGGCGGCACAUCUAUUAAAAGGCAACGCAGGUGUCAUAAGAUGAGCUCAACGAGAACAGAAAGCUCGUGUGGAACAGAAGGGUAAAAGCUCGUUUGAUUCUAAUUUCCAAUACGAAUACGAAUCGUGAAAGCGUGGACUAACGAUCUUUUGGACCUCUGAAAUUCGAAGCUAGAGGUGUCAAAAAAGUUACCACAUGGAUAACUAGCUUGUGGCAGCCAAGUGUUUAUAGCGACGUUGCUUUUUGAUCCUUCGAUGUCAGCUCUUCCUAUCAUUGUGAAGCAAAAUUCACCAAGUAUUGGAUUGUUCACCCACCAAUAGGGAACGUGAGCUGGGUUUAGAUCGUCGUGAGACAGGUUAGUUUUACCCUACUGAUGACAGUAUCACAAUAGUAAUUCAACCUAGUAUGAGAGGAACAAUUGAUACAAUUGGUCAUUGCGCUUGGUUAAAAAGCUAGUGGCGUGAAGCUACCAUGCACUGGAUUAUGACUGAACGCCUCUAAGUUAGAAUCCGGGCUAGAAGAGACUCAUGCGCUCGCCGUCCUCUUGUCGACCCGUAGUAGGGGCCUUUGUCCCCCAAGGGCAUAUAUUGUUGUCUAGGUCAUCGCGGCGGAAAAGCCGCGGUGGCCGCCUUGAAGUAUAAUUUCCAUCGAGUGGCGGGUAGAAUCCUUUACAGAUGACCUAAAUACGCGACGAGGUAUUGUAAGUGGCAGAGUAGCCUUGCUACCACAAUCCACUAAGAUUCAUCCCUUUGUCGCUAUAAUUCGU